GGAUGAGUUGCGAACGGGUGAGUAACGCGUAGGUAACCUGCCUUGUAGCGGGGGAUAACUAUUGGAAACGAUAGCUAAUACCGCAUAACAAUGGAUGACACAUGUCAUUUAUUUGAAAGGGGCAAUUGCUCCACUACAAGAUGGACCUGCGUUGUAUUAGCUAGUAGGUGAGGUAAUGGCUCACCUAGGCGACGAUACAUAGCCGACCUGAGAGGGUGAUCGGCCACACUGGGACUGAGACACGGCCCAGACUCCUACGGGAGGCAGCAGUAGGGAAUCUUCGGCAAUGGGGGCAACCCUGACCGAGCAACGCCGCGUGAGUGAAGAAGGUUUUCGGAUCGUAAAGCUCUGUUGUAAGUCAAGAACGGGUGUGAGAGUGGAAAGUUCACACUGUGACGGUAGCUUACCAGAAAGGGACGGCUAACUACGUGCCAGCAGCCGCGGUAAUACGUAGGUCCCGAGCGUUGUCCGGAUUUAUUGGGCGUAAAGCGAGCGCAGGCGGUUUGAUAAGUCUGAAGUUAAAGGCUGUGGCUCAACCAUAGUUCGCUUUGGAAACUGUCAAACUUGAGUGCAGAAGGGGAGAGUGGAAUUCCAUGUGUAGCGGUGAAAUGCGUAGAUAUAUGGAGGAACACCGGUGGCGAAAGCGGCUCUCUGGUCUGUAACUGACGCUGAGGCUCGAAAGCGUGGGGAGCGAACAGGAUUAGAUACCCUGGUAGUCCACGCCGUAAACGAUGAGUGCUAGGUGUUGGAUCCUUUCCGGGAUUCAGUGCCGCAGCUAACGCAUUAAGCACUCCGCCUGGGGAGUACGACCGCAAGGUUGAAACUCAAAGGAAUUGACGGGGGCCCGCACAAGCGGUGGAGCAUGUGGUUUAAUUCGAAGCAACGCGAAGAACCUUACCAGGUCUUGACAUCCCGAUGCUAUUUCUAGAGAUAGAAAGUUACUUCGGUACAUCGGUGACAGGUGGUGCAUGGUUGUCGUCAGCUCGUGUCGUGAGAUGUUGGGUUAAGUCCCGCAACGAGCGCAACCCCUAUUGUUAGUUGCCAUCAUUCAGUUGGGCACUCUAGCGAGACUGCCGGUAAUAAACCGGAGGAAGGUGGGGAUGACGUCAAAUCAUCAUGCCCCUUAUGACCUGGGCUACACACGUGCUACAAUGGUUGGUACAACGAGUUGCGAGUCGGUGACGGCGAGCUAAUCUCUUAAAGCCAAUCUCAGUUCGGAUUGUAGGCUGCAACUCGCCUACAUGAAGUCGGAAUCGCUAGUAAUCGCGGAUCAGCACGCCGCGGUGAAUACGUUCCCGGGCCUUGUACACACCGCCCGUCACACCACGAGAGU
This 1333-nucleotide ribosomal RNA is filed under the name Streptococcus thermophilus. RNAcentral's name for it is "bacterial SSU rRNA". It matches the Rfam family "Bacterial small subunit ribosomal RNA", at positions 89 to 1411 of the family's 1533-position model. Lineage: Bacteria; Bacillati; Bacillota; Bacilli; Lactobacillales; Streptococcaceae. The record is from RNAcentral.